RNAcentral lists this ribosomal RNA (492 nucleotides) under uncultured bacterium. RNAcentral's name for it is "partial 16S ribosomal RNA". It matches the Rfam family "Bacterial small subunit ribosomal RNA", at positions 29 to 507 of the family's 1533-position model. The record is from RNAcentral.
AGUGAACGCUGGCGGUAGGCCUAACACAUGCAAGUCGAACGAAAGCACAGUAAGAGUGUGCUCUUACGGGUGGCGGGUGGCGGACGGGUGAGGCAUACAUCGGAAUCUACUUUUUCGGGGGGGAUAACGGAGGGAAACUGACGCUAAUACCGCAUACGACCUACGGGUGGAAGCAGGGGUGCUUCGGAGCUUUCGCGAUUGAAUGAGCCGAUGUCGCAUUAGCUAGUUGGCGGGGUAACGGCCCACCAAGGCGACGAUCCGUAGCCGACCUGAGAGGAUGAUCGGCCACACUGGAACUGGGACACGGUCCAGACUCCUACGGGAGGCAGCAGUAGGGAAUAUUGCACAAUGGGCGAAAGCCUGACCCAGCAACACCGCGUGGGUGAAGAAGGUCUUCGGGUCGUAAAGCCCUGUUGUUGGGAAAGAAAAGCAGUAUGUUUAACUCCGGCCGUCCUGACGGUACCUAAACAAUAAGCAACGGCUAACUUCGUG